AAAUAAAUAGAAGGCACAACUUUUGGAGAGAUCUGCAUUACAUUGGGCAAGAUACAUGUGGAACCUCUGAGGUGAGGAACUACUUUCUGUGGGAGCUGCAGCAUGGCUCAGGUGUGUCGACAAGUGCUUUAAAUGAAGAGCAAGAUCAUGGUUCAUCAUAUAGAAGCCCACAUGAAUGAUUACUUUUAAAUUUCUUUGAUCUUGUUCAUGAAAGUAUUUAAAAACUUUGGUAGAGAAUGUAAGAAAGGCAGUAAUGGCUUCAUUUUUCUUAAUAUGGAUACAACAAGCUGCUACUGAUUUAGCUCUUUGAAGACUGGGAUUUGAGUAGAAUAGCUGGAAAGGAACCUUCAAAGGCCAUCCAGUCCCACUGCCUGACCACUUCAGCUUAUGCAACGUGGCCACAGUAACAAGAAAGUCAAUGUUUCCAUUUAAAAGUGAUUUCUAUUUUUGAGGAGCCUAAAGGUCAUCCAGGCAUCUGGAUAUGCAGAGCUUUGGAAGAGCUGCUCCUCGAUGUGGAGGAUACUUUUGGAUCUGGAUGUUUAGCCUUCUUGAAAAUCUGUCACUGUACAUAGAUUUCCUGAGAUUUCUGGAAGAACUCAGCAUGCUCCAUGUACAAGUGAUCUGCCCUGGAACAGCAGGGGUGAAUCUUCUCUGGAUACAAAACAAUGAAGAUGUAUGGAAGAAGAAUGGAAUAAUACAUCAGCUGAAUGCAUGAUCUCCAUGAUUAUAUGACAAAAGGAAAAA
Tympanuchus pallidicinctus (lesser prairie-chicken) is the source of this 744-nucleotide long non-coding RNA. RefSeq lists it as uncharacterized. The transcript has 3 exons. Lineage: Eukaryota; Metazoa; Chordata; Aves; Galliformes; Phasianidae. The record is from RefSeq and is a predicted model, not a curated record.